Molecule: long non-coding RNA, 3765 nt
Filed under: Olea europaea subsp. europaea
Lineage: Eukaryota; Viridiplantae; Streptophyta; Magnoliopsida; Lamiales; Oleaceae
Source: RNAcentral
AAAUCAUGAAGGUGGAUUGAAAACCGGAAACGCUUGUUUCAAAUUGAAAACAACAUCUCUCUUUCUUUUUACUCUCUAUCCCAUUCCUAGCAGAUUUCCAAGGGUUUCCUCUGCCUCCCCGUUUGCAGACUGAGACUCUCGAAGAUCAAUCUUCAUCUCCUAUCCUCGUCUCCUAUUUUCUGCUCCAGGUAUUUCUUUUGUGAGCUUUCACUAAAUAAUUGCUCCCUCUGAUUUUAUUGGGCAUUAUAGCUAGCGUUCUUCACCCCUACUAUAUUAAUAUUGCUGUAUUAAUCCAACCCCUUAUUUAGUUUGUUUGCUGGUUUUUUAAUGUGCCCUCGAUUUGUUGUUCUUUAAACGAAUAGAUGAUAACCCAUUUAGUUUUUCUGCAAAAAUCUGCAUUUAUUUCUGCGUGAUUGUUGAAUUUUUUGCUCUACUCGUGUUUUUGAAUUGAUUUGUGGAUUUUCCACGUUAACAUGUAUAAAAGUUGAUCAAAACUGAUAUCUAAAUACUGUGUGGAUUCCUAACAUUUUUGGCUGUGUCUUCAAUUGGAAUUGAUGUUAUUUUGCAUAUUCAACAUGUUAUUGUUCUCUUCUGUUCAGUGACAGAAAUCGACAAGGUUGUCGAUGAUACUAUUUUUUUGUAGAGUUGCAUUGUCUUUUAUGGUUUGUUUUAAGAAUUGAAGAUGGUGUUACUUGGAGAAUUAAGGAAGUUUUAUUGUGUUAAGUGGAAGAGCACAUCUAUGGUUUUGUGUGAUUGACGGUGUCUUGUAAGAUUGAACUGAGAAUUCUAUAUAGAAUUAUAAUCAAAUCAGCUAAUUUCAUCUUUAAUGACAGUGACACCAUCUAAAAAAAUGAAAGUAUUUGAGUAUUUAUGAAAUGAAAAAUUAUGAUGGAUCAGAAUAAAUCUAUAAGAGAUAGAAUAAGAGAUGAGCAUGUAUGUGAGUAGUUAAGAUAGCAUUCAUUGAAGAAAUUUUUCCAAGACUAUAUUGAAAUGGUUUGGAUAAAUUCAAAGAUGGCCGCUGGAUGCAGCAGUUAGGAAGAUAGAUAGAACGAGUAUUGAUGGUACACCUAGAGGAAGAGUUUAUCUUUUAGAGUGUUCGUUUCUGUGCUUGAUCUAUUGUCAGGCCACUUUGCAUCCAAUCUGAUCAGCCUCUAGUUAGUUUCAAUGAUGGGUUUUUAGAUUAAGCCAUUUCUUUGCCUUUCUUUUGCUUCCAUAAUCAACCAUGAUUAUGUUGAGAUACUUCAAAAUUAGCUUAUCACCUUAAAUUUCGUUCUGUAGAAAUCUAGAGAUUUUUCCCAUUUUUAUGACAAUUCUUGGUAAUUAAACACGUUACAGUAAUAUACUUUGAUAAUUCUGUUUUCAUUAGUUAAAUUCUCCCCCUUCCUCGCCUACAAUUACCCAAACAUAUUAGGGAGAAGAAGGAAAAUAAUCAAUUAUCCUGAAUUAGUCCGUUCUUCUUGUCUUGGUGAUUCAAUUACUAUAUUAAUUGCUUUCUUAGCUUAUGGAUAAUGAUUGGAACUUUUAUUGUUUGAAUGAGUCAAAUCCUAAAUCCUAAUGAAUCUGCCAAUAGUUAUUACAAGGAAACUUCCAAAUUAUUACAAGUUAGCGUUGAAAAUUCUGGGAUCUUUGAGCUAUUUCUUGGGCAUUGAAGGUUUUAGGCAUCCUACUAGUCUUCAUUUUACAAAAUCCAAAUAUGCUACUGACAAUGUGUUGGUAACCAACAAGGCAGGAGCAAUAAGUUGUUCAGCUCUAUGCCCAUGAUGGAAAAUUGCCUCUUGCUGAUAGUGCAUCUUUCUCUAAUCCCACUUUGGACAGAAGCACAAAUAUUAAUACAAAAACAUCAUGCAGACUUCCAAGAGAUCACGACAUUUUGGUUGGAUUGAUAAUAUACAAUAGACAGCAAAGUAUGCAAAGAGGUACUAAGCAAAACCAUAAUAUUAGCUUACUAUGAAUAGCUAACGAAACCAUAUCUCUUAAGCAAUAUAAUUCUGGUGUUUACUAUCAAUUUUAAUCAAAAUUGAAAAACGAGCCCACAAGAGUGAAGACCUCGACAAAUUGAAAUAGGAUAUUAGAAAACUACACAUACUAAUUGAUAAAAUUGAAGUUUCAUAUUUUAGUUUUGCUUAACAUGUUAUGGUAAGGCAGUUCUAAUAUGCUAUGUUUUACUUAAUUGGAUGUAUAUUCAAUAUAACUUCAACAUGGGUGAUCACAGAGUUAGGAAUAAGGAACCAAUGUCAUGGUUCGACGAGAAUGAACAUGCUUUUAUCGAAAUUCUUUACGAGAAAGUGAAAUCAAACGCAUUGCAACGUUCUAUAUUCACGAAAGACGAAUGGAUGAUAAUGUGAGUACCGAUGAUUCCAUUGAUGAAGAUUCGAGUGAUGAUGAUUUGCUAUAUUUAUGGAUAGUUUUGACUCAAAUUUUUGGAGAUUUAAUGAUACUUAAUUGUUUUGUUGCCAGUGAAGGAAGUACCAUAGGCAGGAAAUCUUGUAGAACAUCAUCGCUUACAGGAAAAAUGUAUAUUCUAGAAAUUUUGAAUGGACAUUGGGACGUGUGCUAUCGUAAUUUUCGUAUGUAGAAACAUGUUUUCAUGAAUUUUGUGAUAUUUUGAAAGAGAAAGGGUUACUGAAAGAUGGGAAAAAAGUGAGCAUUGAGGAGGGUAUUGCUAUGUUUAUGACGAUCGUAGGGCACACUGCACGAUACAAUGUUAUUGGUGAUAGGUUUCAGCAUUCCAACAACACGAUACACAAAUGGUUCAAACGAGUUGUAAGGGCUGUUUGUUCAUUUGGCACUGAGAUAAUUCGUCCGACAAAUCAAGACAUUGUAUGGCGCAAUAGAUGGAACAUAUGUUGUAACUUGGGCUCCUGCAUUGAGACAAACAUCUUUUCGUGGAAGGAAAACUAAUGUAAUACAAAAUGUGAUGCUGAUAUAUGAUUUUGAUAUGAAAUUCACAUUUGUGUAUUCUGUUUGGAAAUGUACUGCUAAUGAUUUGUGAGUAUUCGUUGACGCAAUUACAAGAACUUCGAACAACUUUCCAAUGCUACAUGGAGGUAUAUUCUUAUACUUCAAAUAAUUAUUGUGAAUAUAUGUACAGUGUCACACUAUGUAAGCCCUUGUUUAUUUUACAGAUCAAUUUUGCCUUGUUGAUUCUGGAUGUCCAAAUAUUCCUGAAUUUCUUAUCCCUUAUCAAGGUCAAAGAUACCAUUUUCAUGACUAUGUUGGACGGGGAAGACUACGUGGGAAGGAAGAAUUGUUCAACUAUAGACACUCCUUGUGCCGUAACAUUAUUGAAUGUUGCAUUGGAGUUUUAAAGGCAAGAUAUCCUAUUUUGAAGUUGAUUACCAAGUAUCCACUUAGUGGGCAAAGACAAAUCCCUAUUGCAUAUUGCACAAUAAAUAACUUUAUUCGUCAGGAGCACGUUUUAGAUAAGUUGUUCGUUGAGUAUUCAGAGAAUAAUAUGGUGUUUCAAGAUAUAUCGGAAUCAAGUCAAGAUCAAGAAGUCAUACAUUCUGAUGCUAGUCAAACAGCUCAAAUGGGACAAGUCAGGGAUCAAAUUGCUACACAAAUGUGGAAUAACUACUCAAGAUGUCGUACAUGAUUCUGUGGAUGUACUUUAUAUUUUGUUUAGUGUCUGUUUGUUUUGUCAUGACACAUAUUUGUCAUGACACAUAAAUUUCUAAUAGUAUCUAUUGAAUUGUGUUGCCAAAUUUAACUUUUUUUUUUAUAUCUGUCAAAAAUCAUUUCAAGAUUCACCAACUUCAAAAUUUA